UCCUUUUUAGCAGUUAAAGGUCUCUUGGCUGCAUCUUCUUCUUUUUUAACAGCUAUGCAGAACAAUUUUCUGCAGCUUGCAGCCUUCUAAGAUUUUACUUUUGAUGAACUGAUCUUAUGACGUCAUAAUCAUUAACGAGAAAUUAAAAGCAUCAACCGAAAUUAAUAGUGUACAGACGCUUCGCAAAAUAACUGGAGACAUGGUUCAGCCAAACUGCAGUUAUUACUUACCGUCUUUGGUGUGUCUGACUUAUCAUAUGUGUUAAAUUUUAUUGCAUGAACGGAUAUUGUGCAUGUCAAGUGCCUCCUUAGUCAACUCACUAUUUUACAUGCACAUGGCUGAAUAUGGUCAUUUCUGAAGGAGCAUAACAAGUAACUUCAUUUAAUUUCCACUGGCAGUGAAGUUAGAAUUGAGGGAUUGGAGACGCUUGACUACCUUGACAACCUAUACGAGAAAAAGCGCUUCACAGAACAAGGAGAUGCUUUAACAUUUGAAUCUGAGGUGGAUCGGGUGUAUCUUGGCUCCACAGAUACGAUUGCAAUUUUUGAUCAUGAAAGGAAGCGGACUUUUAUAAUUCAAAGGGAAGGACUUCCAGAUGUAGUGGUUUGGAAUCCAUGGGAGAAGAAAUCCAAGUCCAUACCUGAUUUUGGGGACGAAGAAUACCGACAGAUGCUCUGCGUCGACGGGGCGGUGAUCGAGAAGCCGAUCACCCUCAAACCGGGCGAGGAAUGGACAGGACGGUUGGAACUCUCUUACGUCCCUUCAAGCUGAAACCUGAUGUAAGUUCAACAUCAGGUCGGGGUGUGUUCGUUGUAAUAAUGGAGGGUGAGGCGCUACAAUCUUCCGACUCAUCCGCUGUUUUUGCGGGUGGAAGCAUAUGCUUUGCUAAGAAGAUCAAGAUGUAUUAUUAUCAUUAGGACAAUAAGCAGCUUCCAAGAAGAUGGUGGCCGUUGUUUUCCUGUUUGCAGAGAGUCCUUUUUCUUCUCUCGGCAGUAAUGUGAUGUAUCAAUAUCAGCAAACUUUGUAUGAGCACUGAUUAGUCAGUUAGCACUUUUGUACUAUA
This is an RNA transcript of Eucalyptus grandis, 1063 nucleotides long. RefSeq lists it as uncharacterized. The record is from RefSeq and is a predicted model, not a curated record. The transcript is spliced from 3 exons. NCBI's taxonomy places the organism in Eukaryota, Viridiplantae, Streptophyta, Magnoliopsida, Myrtales, Myrtaceae.